This 21-nucleotide microRNA is filed under the name Gossypium raimondii (Peruvian cotton). RNAcentral's name for it is "gra-miR8658". The record is from miRBase by way of RNAcentral. Lineage: Eukaryota; Viridiplantae; Streptophyta; Magnoliopsida; Malvales; Malvaceae.
UUUGAAAAGUACAGGGACUAU